CCGAACCGUCAGUCAGCCGUGCUUCGUCGUAGGGAUGAGAUCGCAACGAGGAAUGACGUUGCACGUUUCGACAUUCGCGCGUCGACGGUGACACGAUAUAAAAACUACACGCGGCUCGCUUUACGUAUACAUUAGAUGUCACGUUCGUGUAUCCAGUUCCGUGGCGAGUAAUCGUGUAAUCAAUCCCGUUUGGCGGUACCGAGAGGAGGCGUGUUUCCCAGGCUGUGCAACUGUGCGGUGUUCUAUCCCCGUUUCUCCAUCUUCCGCAUUCCUCGCUUCGAUUGGAGUAUCUCUCUGUGCACGACGAGAGCGUGUAUCGACGACGGCUCCACGACGACGGAGAAGACCAGUGGUACGCGCAGAACAGUUCGAUUCGAUUGAAGGAAAGCCAACAAGGAACACCAGCUGAAAUCAUCCGGAGGAUGAGCUAAAACGGAGAACGAAAUAGAGAAGAGCGGAACGGACGAGUCAUCGACGAAUUUUCCUAGGUAUGCAGCCAGCAGGGAGGAUGCAACGGUCGAUGACGUGAAUCGACCGACUUUUCGGUCGAUAACUGCCCGCCACGAUUGGCAGCCUCUGAAUGGCUGGCCAACCGUCCCGUUCUCACUUCUGUCGGUGGACUGUUGUGCCCCGGUACCGGAUAACCGGCCUAUAAGUGCGUUUCCUCCGAACGAAUAAUCCUUUAUUCCGUUCGUGAUAUCCCAUUUCUCUGUAUUACCAAAUGCUGUUCGUGUACGGUUGAAGUGAUCCCCUUGACCGUCUCCGAGUUUCUUCGAGCCGCUCCCCGCUCCGCGCGAUCGUUGGAACGAGCAGUCCCCCCCACCACCGCGCCACGAGUUUCGAGAGGAGUGGGGGAAGAGGCGAGCAGAAAGGCGGGAAGAAGAACAGGGAAGAAGCGGCCUAUUCUCUGUUUGGAAUAACAGUUUGUCGAAGGUCGUUGGCGAGCAUCUUCCGUCGCGUAAUCGAAAAGUUGGAAAUAAAAGAGAGAGGAACGAAGAGAGAAGGAGUUUGUCGGAAGGUUCUUCUUUUUCUUUUUUCCUUCUCCUCCUCUCCCUUUCCCCUCACCCGUGGAAGACAAGUGGCCACUUUCUCUCUAUCCUCUCCUCAGGGGUCGGCGGAUGAAGGCAAAGUGGACGGCGAGCAACGCGGAACACCGGCUCUUUCGCUACGCGCCUCGCCCUUGAUUCAGAAGGACGGCCACGUGCACGACGACGGCGCGAGAUAAUCGGUAUCACGGGGAAUCACGUUCAUUUCCCCACCAACUACGGCCACAUGACUUGACGAUCGCCCCACCUACCGCUGUUCGUCGUUGAGCGAAAGCGGCGACAGUGGCAGCAACGUGACCGACGUGGGGAGGGCGAGCGCAUCACGACGACCACGACGACGAUCGGCGACACCAACAACGGCGACGACGACGACGACGACGACGACGACGACGACGACGGCGACGACGACGAGGAAGAAGGAAGAAGAACGGCGGAGGAGUAAGUCAUCGGUUACUACUCGCAAGGCUACUUAACGAGUGACAUAGGCCGUUGGUGGUUCAGUUAGCCGCGGACGGUCAACCCAGGUGCGAGAGUCGUUCGCGCUCUUUUAUCCUUUUUUCUUUUUCGUUAUCUCCCCCCUCCCUCUUCCGUUCUUUCUUUUCUCCCCCUUAUUCCACCUCUAUUUCGCCUUUUUUCUCGAACGACUUUUCGGGUGGGUAGAAAAAGAUUCGCCAAGAUUGGAUAGAUAGAUAGUUAGAUAGUUAGAUAGAUAGAUAGGUAGAUAAGUGUUGAUCGUGGUGACUGUGCUGGUGCCGUUGUUUGUUGUCGUUGUUCUUCGGCUCGGGAAGUAGCGGUUUUCAGUGUGGAUAGUGCGGAUAACAGUGACGAGUGUGAAACUGGAGCCGCAAGCGGUAGAAGCAGUUGCAGUCGAGAGCUAUCAUGUGCCCGCGGAGGAUCUUCGGACUGGCCAUCGUCGCGCUGGUGACUUUUGGUGGACGAGCGGCAGCCUAUACGAAUCAGUGGGCAGUGCAUAUCGAGGGGGGACCGGAUGUGGCCCAGCAGGUCGCGCGAGAGCAUGGAUUUCAAUAUCUCGAUAAGGUGAGCGAUGCUAACUCGACAAACUAAUGAAUUCUGAUUGCGGCUGGUCAAAGUUCCAUAAAAAUAGUGGACGAUUGGUACCACAUGGUGCACACGUCAGUCGUGAAGAGAUCAGCGGAACCGCAUUUCGGGGUGCAGGGGAGGCUAAUAGAGGACCGCAGAGUGCGUCGAGCUGAGCAACAACGGGUAAAAUCGAGAACGAAACGGGAUCUAAUUAUUAAACGCGGUCCGUCCAACCUGAGAACAGUUCUCAACGACGAGAUGUGGCCUCAGAUGUGGUACUUGAACAGGGGAAAGGGGUUAGAUAUGAACGUGCAGGAAGCUUGGGCUGAAGGAAUUACGGGACGCGGAGUCGUGGUCACGAUUCUUGAUGACGGAUUGGAGAAGAAUCAUCCGGAUCUUUAUAAGAACUACGACCCACAAGCCAGCUACGAUGUCAAUAACCAUGAUGAAGAUCCCAUGCCACGAUACGAUGUUCUAGACAGUAAUCGACAUGGCACCAGAUGCGCUGGUGAAGUGGCUGCAACUGCUAACAAUUCCUUGUGCGCGGUAGGAGUUGCAUUUGGAGCUGGCGUCGGGGGAGUGAGAAUGUUGGACGGGGACGUGACGGAUGCCGUGGAAGCAAGGUCUCUGAGCCUGAAUCCUCAACACAUCGAUAUUUAUAGUGCCUCAUGGGGACCUGACGACGAUGGAAAAACCGUCGAUGGUCCUGGCGAACUUGCCACUAGAGCUUUCAUCGAGGGGAUCACAAAGGGUCGCAACGGUAGAGGGUCGAUUUUCGUCUGGGCGUCGGGGAACGGCGGCAGGGAUCACGACAACUGCAACUGCGACGGUUACACGAACAGCAUCUGGACGUUGUCCAUCAGCAGCGCGACGGAGAACGGCCAGGUGCCUUGGUACAGCGAGGCGUGCUCGUCCACCCUGGCUACGACCUACAGUUCCGGUUCAUCGGGGGAGAAACAAGUGGUGACCACUGACCUGCAUCACCUUUGCACGACCAGCCACACGGGCACGUCUGCAUCGGCGCCCUUGGCAGCCGGUAUAUGCGCCCUCGCCCUCGAGGCCAACAGAGAUCUGACUUGGAGGGAUAUGCAACACAUCGUCGUGAGGACAGCGAAACCUGCCAAUCUGAAAGCUAUGGAUUGGGUGACCAAUGGUGUUGGACGAAACGUGAGCCACAGUUUUGGUUAUGGCUUAAUGGAUGCAGCUGCCAUGGUGCGGUUGGCCAAAAGAUGGCGAACAGUACCGGAACAACACAAAUGCGAGGUGUCAGCACCACACAUGGGCAGGCCAAUACCACCAAAGAGCCAGCUAACUCUGGAAUUGCACGUCAAGGAGUGUAGCGGCGUUAAUUUUCUCGAGCACGUGCAAGCAAAGGUUUCAUUGAUGGCGUCGAGAAGAGGGGAUCUUCAGAUACAACUAACAUCUCCACAAGGUACAAAGAGUACCCUUCUUGCAAAAAGGUCACACGACGUCUCGAAGGCUGGUUUCAAUCAAUGGCCAUUUAUGUCGGUUCACACUUGGGGAGAAAGGCCACACGGCACGUGGAAACUUGAAAUCCACAAUGAGGGUCGAUACCAAGGUCGCGCCACGCUUCACGAAUGGGCGUUGAUAUUUUACGGGACGUCGACGCUUCCCGAUCGCACGGAAUACGCGUUGUACAAUCCCGCCGGGAUGAACAUACCGAGAAGGCCAUUCGUCAAACCGCGCGAGACAGUGUUCUCCAAGGCUCAGAACUCUCUCACGAGCUCGAAGAUCAAGCAGAGCCAGCACAAGUCGGAGAAGCCGGGUAGUCUCAGCCCGCCUUACGUGGUGAACGCCCAGAUACAGUCGCAGAGGAAGAGCAAGGCGCGCGGCCAGCACAAAAAUGGCAAAUCGGCCAAUAAACCGACCCCGAAGCCGACCGUGCAGACGUUGAGGGGGUUGACCGUGGCGAGGGGGCCUAACGUCGCGGGGGAGGUACGCCUGAUCACGUCCAGGCCACGAGGGAGGAGCACACCAAGCCCUGUCACGACCACUGUCGCGCACCAAACCAGUCCGCCCACCGCUGUUCCAACCACAAAAGUGGCCAGCAGGCAAAGAAUCGUGGACGUGGCGACUGCCUCGUCCCUUCAGAGGGGUUUGAUCCUCUUGGAGCCACCAGCGAAACCUGCCAUCAACAACGUGCCAGCCAUUUUCCAACAGUAUCCCAAGAUUCAACAGCUCUAUCCAUUGUAUCCUGUCUAUCCCGGGGUUAGAGGAGCCGGCCAGCAACACGCGACCAGGGCCAAGGGGUUGGAAUUGCUGCAGGAUGAACAGUUCGAUUCGAAGAACUUGGAUAAGGACACCCUCGACGAGUUCAAGCUAGUGUUCUACGGCACGGAAACGUCGUUGGAAUUCGACGACGAGUUGGACAAGGACAAACCGUUGCCACCGGUGAACCAGCAGGACGUGAGCCAGGACAAUACGGCGAUAGGCGCGAGGCACAACGUGAUGGACACGGAGGGUGGUCCGUGGACAGGUAGCCAACAGGUGGAGCGCGUGUCCCAUCCGGAAGUGCAGAGGCCCACGACCGAGAACCAGACGAGCGGUUGCAGCGGCAUCGACACUGGAAAUGGCAGGUGCCUAGAGUGUAAGCCGAGCUGGUACUACCACGACGGAAUCUGCGUGCACAAGUGCCCUAGAGGAACUUACGGCGUUUCUGACGAGUCAAAGGCGGUUUGCUCCGGCUGCCAUUACUCCUGCCUAACUUGUUCAGGACCUUCGAACACCGAGUGCACCAGUUGCCACGAGGACGCCGAGUUUUCGUCGAGCCUCGACGAGUCCGUCUGCAUCCUACGCGACCUCACCUGGACCAUGCACUCCACCUUCUGGUUCUACCGGAUGACCAUUCUGUUCUCGACCAGCGUCCUUUUGUUCAUCGUGAUAAUCAUGUACGUGGGUGUCAAGUGGUAUCUAAAGAACAGAAAUUCGUACAGAUACAGCAAGGUGUACUCCUCGAGCAAUGGGGACGCGCGCAAGGACAAUUUGCAAAAUGGUUACAUCUCUGAUAGUGAAUAAAGAAAAUGAACAUUGAGAAGAGAGAAUAAUAUUGAACGAGUCAGAGAUAUUUCAAGAUUAUGGAUAAGAAUAUUUCGAUGGCAUGUGAUGUUUCGUUUAUGGUGUAAUUGAAUAGUUAUAAUUGUGAAGUUGAUAAGAGUUUGUAAGGAUGAUUCGAUUCGAGGAGAAAGGAGGAUUCCGUCCUUCCAGUUUGCCACGUUCCAAUUCACGUAUGUCAAGUAAAGAGUUGUUAAUGAUCUCCCAGUGAAUAUCGAGAGUGCAUUUACGUUGUGAUUUCACGAGGUUAUACGCAAAGUAUUUAAAGAAAAUUGUGGGAUUUUAAGAGCUUUUAGUACUCGUAGUAUGUUUAAGUUUUGAAAUCAAUUCGAUUCGAUUUUUUUGUUUCUUUUUUAUUAACGAGUACUAUAAGUUUUUAAAUUUUGAUACUCUUAUUUUUCUGACAUCCCGUCUUACCACGAAUGAAAUGAAGUAGAAUAGACUUAUUAUUAUUAGAAAUAAUCACACACAAUUUUAUAAUUUAUAUGUUAUCGAACUUGAUAUUUAAUCAAAUUAAAUCAUUCCACGUGCGUGUACGUAAGAUUUUCUUGGAAUUUUCUUUGGAAAUUCCAAGAUUCAUAAUUUAAGUUCGCCGUUACUUUUAAAUUGUGAAAAUUUGCAAAGAUUUACGAGAAUUUUAAAUACGUAAUAGAUAGUUCUUAAUACGUAAAUAGAGUAUAAGUUUAGAAUUUAAAAAUUGUAAAAAUUUACACAACAGGUUUUCUUAAUUUAAAUUAAAGCUUAAAGCUCGACGUUCGGAAUUGUCGGAAAUUUUAAUCGAGACACGGAUUGAGUUUAUCGAGUUUCGAUUUUCAGUUGAAUUAACAUUUAAUAAUUAAGUGUGCGUAGCCAUUAUUCGAUCAUCGUUAAGGGGAUAAACUAAAUUACACACAGCGUCUAGUGUAUCUUGUGCUCGUCGAUAAUCAAAAUUAAAAUUGCAUUAUAUUCUGCAACUAACUGUAACACAAUUUGCUGUCCGAGUUCCUAGACCGCACUAGAGCACAUUGUAAUUAAUUGAUACACCGGUCAAAUUGCUAUGUGAUACUAUUUAUAUAAAUUGCAUUAAACAUACGAGACGCAAAUAAAGUAUAAUAGCAUUUCCUAACGACCAAAGACUGUUGCACAACUGCUCAGUUAAGAGUGAAUCCUAGAUAUAUAAAAUCAAAAGUGAAUAUUAAAAUUAAU
Long non-coding RNA from Apis mellifera (honey bee), 6344 nucleotides. RefSeq annotates it as furin-like protease 1. The transcript has 14 exons. NCBI's taxonomy places the organism in Eukaryota, Metazoa, Arthropoda, Insecta, Hymenoptera, Apidae. The record is from RefSeq and is a predicted model, not a curated record.